Molecule: non-coding RNA, 689 nt
Organism: Pelobates cultripes (western spadefoot toad)
Lineage: Eukaryota; Metazoa; Chordata; Amphibia; Anura; Pelobatidae
Source: the annotation of a GenBank genome assembly
GUGGAGUGUCCCUUUAAGUUCUUACAGGAAAUACCAGUCAUGGACUUAAGAUUAUUUUAGGACUGGUGCUGACAAUUAUGGUGCUCUUGGGCCUAAUUACAGAAUCUUACAGACAGAAAACACUAACAGCCAUAGUGUCUUGUAUCUGGUUGACCUGGUACUAGAGGAACACUUGCAGGAUACAUUUUAAGUCUAUAAAUACCCUAUGUCAAUCUUUCUCUCCUACAAAUCAGUUCAGUCUGUCUGUCCAUUAAACAAGACCCAACAGCUCUCUCUCACUAAUCACAAACCGUGAACAUUCUCUUAUCAGGAUUUACUUUUCCACUUCCUUCCUGGUAUACAGACUGAGGCAGAGAAGGUGGAUGUAGUAGAAAGUACAUAUGCCACAUGGUGACUGGAGGAUGUUUGACGGUUAGAAGCAGCAAGAGGAUUUGUGCUUAGCUUGCUAUCAGUAAGUUAAUUUUUAGGAUCAAUGUCCUAUUUAAUGGGCAUGGGUCAUUAGUCCUUAUACUAAUGCCAGCCCUGAGCACUAUAUAUCCACACAUAUAUUAGCAAACUACAAGAACACAGUAAGUGUAUCUUGCUUAAAAGGUCACUCCAAUGAAAAUAAAUAUUUUAAUUUAACACCAUUUUUGCAAGUCAUUUUUAAGGAGGGUUUGUACAUUUCAUCUGACCAAAGUUAAGUCAAG